GAUGAACGCUGGCGGCGUGCCUAAUACAUGCAAGUCGAGCGAACAGAUGAGGAGCUUGCUCCUCUGACGUUAGCGGCGGACGGGUGAGUAACACGUGGAUAACCUACCUAUAAGACUGGGAUAACUUCGGGAAACCGGAGCUAAUACCGGAUAAUAUAUUGAACCGCAUGGUUCAAUAGUGAAAGACGGUUUUGCUGUCACUUAUAGAUGGAUCCGCGCCGCAUUAGCUAGUUGGUAAGGUAACGGCUUACCAAGGCAACGAUGCGUAGCCGACCUGAGAGGGGUAUGCGCCAACCGGGAAGCGCGCCGCGUCCACGCACCCCACGGGAGGCAGCGUGUGGGAUUUUGCCGGAAUGGGCAAAACCCAGCAGGAGGAACCCCGGGGGGGUGAGGAAGGUUUUCGGUUCGAAAACCUGUUUUAUGGGGGAAGAAAAAAUUUGAAAACAAACAGCCCGCUUUUGGCGGCACCAAAUCAAAACCCCCCGGCUACCCCCGG
Molecule: ribosomal RNA, 496 nt
Filed under: uncultured bacterium
Lineage: Bacteria
Description: partial 16S ribosomal RNA
Rfam family: Bacterial small subunit ribosomal RNA
Source: RNAcentral